This 497-nucleotide ribosomal RNA is filed under the name uncultured bacterium. RNAcentral's name for it is "partial 16S ribosomal RNA". It matches the Rfam family "Bacterial small subunit ribosomal RNA", at positions 28 to 507 of the family's 1533-position model. The record is from RNAcentral.
GAUGAACGCUGGCGGCGUGCCUAAUACAUGCAAGUCGAGCGAACAGACGAGGAGCUUGCUCCUCUGACGUUAGCAGCGGACGGGUGAGUAACACGUGGAUAACCUACCUAUAAGACUGGGAUAACUUCGGGAAACCGGAGCUAAUACCGGAUAAUAUAUUGAACCGCAUGGUUCAAUAGUGAAAGACGGUUUUGCUGUCACUUAUAGAUGGAUCCGCGCCGCAUUAGCUAGUUGGUAAGGUAACGGCUUACCAAGGCAACGAUGCGUAGCCGACCUGAGAGGGUGAUCGGCCACACUGGAACUGAGACACGGUCCAGACUCCUACGGGAGGCAGCAGUAGGGAAUCUUCCGCAAUGGGCGAAAGCCUGACGGAGCAACGCCGCGUGAGAGAUGAAGGUCUUCGGAUCGUAAAACUCUGUUAUUAGGGAAGAACAAAUGUGUAAGUAACUAUGCACGUCUUGACGGUACCUAAUAAGAAAGCCACGGCUAACUACGUG